UGGGGAAUAUUGGGCAAUGGGGGAAACCCUGACCCAGCGACGUCGCGUGAGGGAAGAAGGUCUUCGGAUUGUAAACCUUAGUCAACAGGGACGAAAAAAAUGACGGUACCUGUGGAGGAAGCCACGGCUAACUACGUGCCAGCAGCCGCGGUAAUACGUAGGUGGCAAGCGUUAUCCGGAAUUACUGGGUGUAAAGGGUGAGUAGGCGGGUAUACAAGUCAGAUGUGAAAUAUUAUGGCUCAACCAUAAUCAGCAUUUGAAACUGUAUAUCUUGAGAGUGGGAGAGGUAAUUGGAAUUCCUAGUGUAGCGGUGAAAUGCGUAGAUAUUAGGAGGAACACCAGUGGCGAAGGCGGAUUACUGGACCACAACUGACGCUGAUGCACGAAAGCGUGGGGAGCAAACA
Molecule: ribosomal RNA, 404 nt
Filed under: uncultured Eubacteriales bacterium
Lineage: Bacteria; Bacillati; Bacillota; Clostridia; Eubacteriales
Description: uncultured Clostridiales bacterium partial 16S ribosomal RNA
Rfam family: Bacterial small subunit ribosomal RNA
Source: RNAcentral